RNAcentral lists this small nuclear RNA (107 nucleotides) under Physeter macrocephalus (sperm whale). Lineage: Eukaryota; Metazoa; Chordata; Mammalia; Artiodactyla; Physeteridae. The record is from RNAcentral.
GUGCCCGCUUUGGCAGCACAUAUGCUAAAAUUGGAACGAUACAGAGAAGAUUAGCAUGGCCCCUGCGCAAGGACGACACGCAAAUUCAUGAAGCGUUCCCUAUUUUU